This 494-nucleotide ribosomal RNA is filed under the name uncultured bacterium. RNAcentral describes it as "partial 16S ribosomal RNA". It matches the Rfam family "Bacterial small subunit ribosomal RNA", at positions 29 to 505 of the family's 1533-position model. The record is from RNAcentral.
AUGAACGCUGGCGGCGUGCCUAAUACAUGCAAGUCGAGCGAACGGACGAGAAGCUUGCUUCUCUGAUGUUAGCGGCGGACGGGUGAGUAACACGUGGAUAACCUACCUAUAAGACUGGGAUAACUUCGGGAAACCGUAGCUAAUACCGGAUAAUAUUUUGAACCGCAUGGUUCAAAAGUGAAAGACGGUCUUGCUGUCACUUAUAGAUGGAUCCGCGCUGCAUUAGCUAGUUGGUAAGGUAACGGCUUACCAAGGCAACGACGCAUAGCCGACCUGAGAGGGGGAUCGGCCAACAGGGAAGUGGACACGGGUCCAGACCCCAAGGGGGGGCAGCAGUGGGGAAUCUUCCGAAAGGGGCGAAAGCCGGACGGGGCAACGCCGGGGGAGUAAGAAAGGUCUUGGGAUCGAAAAACUUUUUUAUUAGGGAAAAACAUAUGGGUAAGAACCUGGGCACAUCUGGCCGGUACUAAAUCAAAAAGCCCCGGCAAACUACG